AGUCGAGCGAUGAACACCUUCGGGUGUGAAUUAGCGGCGAACGGGUGAGGAACACGUGAGAAAUCUGCCUUCACACUGGGAUAACUCCGGGAAACCGGGGCUAAUACCGGAUAUGAAAUCUGCGGGCAUCCGCGGAUUUGGAAAGUUUUUCGGUUGAAGAUGAUCUCGCGGCCUAUCAGCUUGUUGGUGAGGUAAUGGCUCACCAAGGCGACGACGGGUAGCCGGCCUGAGAGGGCGACCGGCCACACUGGGACUGAGACACGGCCCAGACUCCUACGGGAGGCAGCAGUGGGGAAUAUUGGGCAAUGGAGGAAACUCUGACCCAGCGACGCCGCGUGCGGGAUGAAGGCCUUCGGGUUGUAAACCGCUUUCAGCAGGGAAGAAGCGAAAGUGACGGUACCUGCAGAAGAAGCACCGGCUAACUAUGUGCCAGCAGCCGCGGUAAUACAUAGGGUGCAAGCGUUGUCCGGAAUUAUUGGGCGUAAAGAGCUCGUAGGUGGUUCGUCACGUCGGAUGUGAAACUCUGGGGCUUAACCCCAGACCUGCAUUCGAUACGGGCGAGCUUGAGUAUGGUAGGGGAGUCUGGAAUUCCUGGUGUAGCGGUGGAAUGCGCAGAUAUCAGGAGGAACACCAAUGGCGAAGGCAGGACUCUGGGCCAUUACUGACACUGAGGAGCGAAAGCGUGGGGAGCGAACAGGAUUAGAUACCCUGGUAGUCCACGCCGUAAACGGUGGGCACUAGUUGUGGGGACCUUCCACGGUCUCUGCGACGCAGCUAACGCAUUAAGUGCCCCGCCUGGGGAGUACGAUCGCAAGAUUAAAACUCAAA
Molecule: ribosomal RNA, 828 nt
Filed under: uncultured bacterium
Lineage: Bacteria
Description: SSU rRNA
Rfam family: Bacterial small subunit ribosomal RNA
Source: RNAcentral